CGGUAAAUGUCAAUUAAACUGUACACUUUUAUCGGUAAAUUGUGAUUUUUACGCAAUGCGACUUUUAGAGCUCUCUGUCCGCACAGCGAGUGUCGAGUGAGGACGGACUGGGCCAAAGACCUUAUAAUAUAUUACUAGACCGAAAGCUGCGUGCGCGUUCAGCACAAAACAAAUGAGAUUAGGCUCCGCCUACCGCGAUCAUUUGAAGACAAAAAUAAGCCCUCAUUGACAUUCAUGAGCAUGAAGAUAUUCAUAAUCCGGCCUUUUCAUUGGCUAAGAGCGUCAUUAAUACGCGAUUUCCCCGAUUCUUUGUCAUCGAUAUUAGUGGUAUCGUGUUACAGAAUUAAUUAUUCAUUUGACCUCAUUACGUCAUCUAAUUUAUUCAUUCUGAAACUUUUCUUUCCACACAAAAAUGGACCUACGAACAUUCCGGUUGAGUUUGAAGAACAAGAAAAACAGUAGAGGUCUACCUGGUACCUAUGGUUAAACAUGAUGAUCAUAAGUGCAUGUAUCAUUUUGCAGAUUCUCAUCCAGGAUGAUGCAACUCUACAAUUUCCAUGGAGGUGAUUGAUGAUGAUAAACAAUUGGUGAAGUAGGCCUAAUAGAACAGUGAUAGGACCACAAAGAGAAAUACAACCUACAGCAGUUAUAUGAGACUGGUGUAACAGAUGUUUUCAUUCAAGAAAUCCAACAAAUUGAAGAGUGACUUAGCUUAGGAAGCACUUGAUAAAGAUGGAAAAGGUUUUUUUUUUCAAGUCCAAUUUUUUUUAUU
Long non-coding RNA from Lytechinus pictus (painted urchin), 772 nucleotides. RefSeq lists it as uncharacterized. The record is from RefSeq and is a predicted model, not a curated record. The transcript is spliced from 4 exons. NCBI's taxonomy places the organism in Eukaryota, Metazoa, Echinodermata, Echinoidea, Temnopleuroida, Toxopneustidae.